Molecule: long non-coding RNA, 1386 nt
Filed under: Homo sapiens (human)
Lineage: Eukaryota; Metazoa; Chordata; Mammalia; Primates; Hominidae
Description: HSALNT0237233
Source: RNAcentral
AAGAAAGGAUGGAAAUUUCACCUUUUUCACUGAGAAGAGGAGGAAGUUUGGGGACAGAGGCAGAAUCAUCACCUCACUUGCAGUCCACACUAUUUUUUAUUUUCUUUUAAGCCAGCGGCUCAACACACAAUCCAUGGUAAAUAGGAAUAUGGUUGUUCCCACAGGAAGGAAAUCUGCAAGCCACCAGUACUGCCUUACAAAAAAAGGUGCUUCCCCUUCCUCCAACCCCAUAUGCAAAUCCCAACAUACCAGAUGUGAAAGCAAGAAGGAAUGGAAAGAGAAGUCUACUCACAGGUCCCAUUCUGAGGCCUCCAGCCAAGGGGACGCCAUGGUGAAAACACUGCAGAGAGACCAUUAUGUGAGUUGCCACUGUCAUGUUGCUGUGUCUCAAUGAGCAAAUAGAAGUAGCCCUGCCUCAGAGGCCACAUUCUUCACAAGGGUCAAGAUUCACACUUGCCAUCCCAAAGCUUCCCACUAGGUGUGCUGUGGCAUGCAGACAGCCUUGGCUGGUUGCAGGCAUACCGCGUAAGCUGAAGUCUGGGUCAGCUGAAACCUCUGGCUUGAAGAGCCUCAUCUCUUUAUCCCAAUGGGUUGUAACAUUUUUUCUCUAAAAUCUAUGGUGUGAAGAAAGUAUAACAAGCAUUGCAACAGGGGUAAAGCAGGAAUAAUAAUUAUUUAAGCAUCUGCUCCAGAGCAGGUUUUCCAUAUUCCAGUCACAUGAGUUAUCUCUUUUGAUCUUCCUAAUAACCCUGGGAGGGAGAGACUAGUUCUUCUCCUUGCAAUAAGGAUGUUAGGCUCAGAGAAGUGAAGUAACAUGCCCAUGGUCAUGAAGCUGGAGAGAGUUGGAGCUGAGAUUCAAUCCCAGGUCUUCUCACUCAAUAUUAUUAAUGCCAUGAGAUUGCCCACAACAGCAUCAGCUGGAGGCUCACAGCCAGGCUCCUGGGGUUGCCUCCUGCUGAGGCUGAACAAUAGCUCAGAUAGAUCUGAAGAGCGGAGGUCAGAGUCAGCCGGCAAUCAGCACCACUGUAGGCACAUAAACAACAACUACAGCAAGAAGUGACAUUAAUACUUGUAAUUCCAAGCAAAUAUCCAAAGAGGCUGAUAAGGCAUAAGUGAAAGAACUUGAAGGUAAGAAAUGUCCACAGCUCAUACCCAUUAGGAACCCCCUUUGUCUUGUGCCUGAGAUUUUCUGUGGUUUACAUGGGGCAGAAGCCAGGUUGAGAAGAGGGGAUGAGAGUUCCCAAGAGGACUUUCUUGUAGGACUUGCAGGACCAGGUAAUAGUGGUUCCUGCAAAAAAUUUGCAGCAGUUUCUGGUUAGCAAACCUGACAUGCUACAUGAAGGGAACAUGAGGAUAACAAAUUAAGCCAUCUCAUGAAGACCCUCA